AGAGUUUGAUCCUGGCUCAGAACGAACGCUGGCGGCAGGCCUAACACAUGCAAGUCGAGCGCACCUUCGGGUGAGCGGCGGACGGGUUAGUAACGCGUGGGAAUAUACCCAGUUCUAAGGAAUAGCCUCUGGAAACGGAGAGUAAUACCUUAUACGCCCUUCGGGGGAAAGAUUUAUCGGAAUUGGAUUAGCCCGCGUUAGAUUAGUUAGUUGGUGGGGUAACGGCCUACCAAGACUACGAUCUAUAGCUGGUUUGAGAGGAUGAUCAGCAACACUGGGACUGAGACACGGCCCAGACUCCUACGGGAGGCAGCAGUGGGGAAUCUUGGACAAUGGGCGCAAGCCUGAUCCAGCCAUGCCGCGUGAGUGAAGAAGGCCCUAGGGUCGUAAAACUCUUUCAACUGUGAAGAUAAUGACGGUAGCAGUAGAAGAAACCCCGGCUAACUCCGUGCCAGCAGCCGCGGUAAUACGGAGGGGGUUAGCGUUGUUCGGAAUUACUGGGCGUAAAGCGUACGUAGGCGGAUUAGAAAGUUAGGGGUGAAAUCCCGAGGCUCAACCUCGGAACUGCCUCUAAAACUCCUAGUCUAGAGAUCGAGAGAGGUGAGUGGAAUUCCAAGUGUAGAGGUGAAAUUCGUAGAUAUUUGGAGGAACACCAGUGGCGAAGGCGGCUCACUGGCUCGAUACUGACGCUGAGGUACGAAAGUGUGGGGAGCAAACAGGAUUAGAUACCCUGGUAG
This 737-nucleotide ribosomal RNA is filed under the name uncultured bacterium. RNAcentral describes it as "bacterial SSU rRNA". It matches the Rfam family "Bacterial small subunit ribosomal RNA", at positions 8 to 793 of the family's 1533-position model. The record is from RNAcentral.